This 579-nucleotide ribosomal RNA is filed under the name Hanseniaspora thailandica (nom. inval.). RNAcentral's name for it is "Hanseniaspora thailandica partial large subunit ribosomal RNA". It matches the Rfam family "Eukaryotic large subunit ribosomal RNA", at positions 38 to 631 of the family's 3401-position model. The record is from RNAcentral. Lineage: Eukaryota; Fungi; Ascomycota; Saccharomycetes; Saccharomycodales; Saccharomycodaceae.
GCAUAUCAAUAAGCGGAGGAAAAGAAACCAACUGGGAUUACCUUAGUAACGGCGAGUGAAGCGGUAAAAGCUCAAAUUUGAAAUCUGGUACUUUCAGUGCCCGAGUUGUAAUUUGUAGAAUUUGUCUUUGAUUAGGUCCUUGUCUAUGUUCCUUGGAACAGGACGUCAUAGAGGGUGAGAAUCCCGUUUGGCGAGGAUACCUUUUCUCUGUAAGACUUUUUCGAAGAGUCGAGUUGUUUGGGAAUGCAGCUCAAAGUGGGUGGUAAAUUCCAUCUAAAGCUAAAUAUUGGCGAGAGACCGAUAGCGAACAAGUACAGUGAUGGAAAGAUGAAAAGAACUUUGAAAAGAGAGUGAAAAAGUACGUGAAAUUGUUGAAAGGGAAGGGCAUUUGAUCAGACAUGGUGUUUUUUUAAUGUGCAAGUCUCUCGUGGACAUGUGCCUCUGGAAAUUAACACUGGGCCAACAUCAGUUCUGGCGGCAGGAUAAAUCAUUAAGAAUGUAGCUACCUCGGUAGUGUUAUAGCUUUUUGGAAUACUGCCAGCUGGGAUUGAGGACUGCGCUUCGGCAAGGAUGUUGGCA